GACGAACCGUCCUAACGUUGUUCGGGAUCACUGGGCUUAAAGGGCGCGUAGGCGGCCUUGAAAGUCGGGGGUGAAAUCCCACGGCCUAACCGUGGAAGUGCCUCCGAUACUGCAAGGCUCGAGGGAGGUAGGGGCAGCUGGAACUUCCGGUGGAGCGGUGAAAUGCGUUGAUAUCGGAAGGAACGCCGGUGGCGAAAGCGAGCUGCUGGACCUCUGCUGACGCUGAGGCGCGAAAGCCAGGGGAGCAAACGGG
This 253-nucleotide ribosomal RNA is filed under the name uncultured bacterium. RNAcentral's name for it is "partial 16S ribosomal RNA". It matches the Rfam family "Bacterial small subunit ribosomal RNA", at positions 524 to 776 of the family's 1533-position model. The record is from RNAcentral.